This 64-nucleotide transfer RNA is filed under the name Anthrenus verbasci (variegated carpet beetle). Its description in RNAcentral is "tRNA-Arg". The record is from RNAcentral. Lineage: Eukaryota; Metazoa; Arthropoda; Insecta; Coleoptera; Dermestidae. RNAcentral also lists the same sequence under 1 other name.
AAAUAAGAAACAAUAAAUUGUAUUUAGUUUCGACCUAAAAUUUAGAUAAUAAUAUCCUUAUUUA